UGAGAACUGAUAGCAAGCUGUACUUGUACAGUGAAGUGGCUGAUGCCAUGCUUCCAGGAAAAGUCUCUAAGCUUCAGUUACACAGGAAUCGUACCCGAAACCGACACAGGUGGUCAGGUCGAGUAGACCAAAGCGCUUGAGAGAACUCUGCUGAAGGAACUAGGCAAAAUGGUACCGUAACUUCGGGAGAAGGUACGCUGCCGACGGUGAUGGGAUUUACUCCCUGAGCGGUUGGCAGCCACAGAAACCAGGCCCCUGCAACUGUUUAUUAAAAACAUAGCACUCUGCAAACACGAAAGUGGACGUAUAGGGUGUGAUGCCUGCCCGGUGCUGGAAGGUUAAUUGAUGGGGUUAGCGUAAGCGAAGCUCUUGAUCGAAGCCCCAGUAAACGGCGGCCGUAACAAUAACGGUCCUAAGGUAGCGAAAUUCCUUGUCGGGUAAGUUCCGACCUGCACGAAUGGCAUAAUGAUGGGGGCGCUGUCUCCAGCAGAGACUCAGUGAAAUCGAAUUCGCCGUGAAGAUGCGGUGUACCCGCGGCUAGACGGAAAGACCCCGUGAACCUUUACUGCAGCUUGACAUUGAACUUUGAUCUUACUUGUGUAGGAUAGGUGGGAGGCUUUGAAACUCGGACGCUAGUUCGAGUGGAGCCAAUCUUGAAAUACCACCCUGGUAAUAUUGGGGUUCUAACUCUGCUCCAUUAUCUGGAGCGAGGACCAUGUCUGGUGGGUAGUUUGACUGGGGCGGUCUCCUCCUAAAGAGUAACGGAGGAGUACGAAGGUGCGCUCAGCGUGGUCGGAAAUCACGCGUAGAGUAUAAAGGCAAAAGCGCGCUUAACUGCGAGACCCACAAGUCGAGCAGGUACGAAAGUAGGUCUUAGUGAUCCGGUGGUUCUGUAUGGAAGGGCCAUCGCUCAACGGAUAAAAGGUACUCUGGGGAUAACAGGCUGAUACCGCCCAAGAGUUCAUAUCGACGGCGGUGUUUGGCACCUCGAUGUCGGCUCAUCUCAUCCUGGGGCUGAAGCAGGUCCCAAGGGUAUGGCUGUUCGCCAUUUAAAGAGGUACGCGAGCUGGGUUUAGAACGUCGUGAGACAGUUCGGUCCCUAUCUACCGUGGGCGUUGGAAAUUUGAGAGGAUCUGCUCCUAGUACGAGAGGACCAGAGUGGACGAACCUCUGGUGUACCGGUUGUGACGCCAGUCGCAUCGCCGGGUAGCUAUGUUCGGAAGGGAUAACCGCUGAAAGCAUCUAAGCGGGAAGCCUACCUCAAGAUAAGAUUUCCCAAGGACUUUAUGUCCUCUAAAGAGCCGUUGAAGACUACGACGUUGAUAGGUUGGAUGUGGAAGUGCAGUGAUGCAUGAAGCUGACCAAUACUAAUUGCUCGUGAGGCUUGACA
Molecule: ribosomal RNA, 1390 nt
Filed under: metagenome
Description: bacterial LSU rRNA
Rfam family: Bacterial large subunit ribosomal RNA
Source: RNAcentral